AAUUUACUAUUUAUAGCAUACAGAGUGUAUAUAUAUAUAUAUAUAGAGAGAGAGAGAGAGAGAGUUCGGCUACUAUACUUUUAUGAGUAUUGGCUCACUUAUACUCAUAAGUUUUCGGCUCUUAGAUUUAUUUCAUGAUCAUUUCCACCUAUUAGAUCAUACUAUGCAACCAACUACCCACUCAACUCUAGAGGACCACUAUCAUUUUAAGUGGGGACCGCCAUCAUCCUAACCACACAUCCCAUCAAUCAACGGUUAAAAAUUUAUGAGUGCAAAGGGUUCUAUACUCAUAAGAGUAUAGUAGCCCCAGCCUAUAUAUAUAUUGUGCUCCUAAGUUCUUAACCGCCUAUCAAAUUUGAUGGGUGAUUAGGGUGAAAGAAAGAAAAGAAAUUAAAAAGAAAUUCAAAGAGGGGAGAAAUUGAGAAACCCAAUUUCUCUCUAAUUGCUCUUCUCCAUUUCACCCUAACCACCCAUCAAAUUUGAUGGACGGUUAAGAACUUAGAAGCACAAGAGCUGUUGUGCUCCUAAUAGCACAGUAGCCCUACUAUAUAUAUAUAUAU
This 560-nucleotide long non-coding RNA is filed under the name Ananas comosus (pineapple). RNAcentral describes it as "long non-coding RNA (ACOM_LNC025781)". The record is from RNAcentral. Lineage: Eukaryota; Viridiplantae; Streptophyta; Magnoliopsida; Poales; Bromeliaceae.